Molecule: ribosomal RNA, 253 nt
Filed under: uncultured bacterium
Lineage: Bacteria
Description: partial 16S ribosomal RNA
Rfam family: Bacterial small subunit ribosomal RNA
Source: RNAcentral
UACAGGGGGCUCGAGCGUUAGUCGGAAUCACUGGGCUUAAAGCGUGUGUAGGCGGACCCGUCAGUGUCUUGUGAAAUCCCACGGCUCAACCGUGGAACGGCUGGGCAUACUGCGGGUCUUGAGACACCUAGGGGCGAGCGGAACAGGCGGUGGAGCGGUGAAAUGCGUAGAUAUCGCCUGGAACGCCGACGGUGAAAACAGCUCGCUGGGGGUGUUCUGACGCUGAGACACGAAAGCCAGGGGAGCGAACGGG